Molecule: long non-coding RNA, 345 nt
Filed under: Aotus nancymaae (Ma's night monkey)
Lineage: Eukaryota; Metazoa; Chordata; Mammalia; Primates; Aotidae
Description: lncRNA (ENSANAG00000039112.1)
Source: RNAcentral
ACUUCAGAAGAGUAUAAACUCAGAAUGUAAAUCUAUCUAUUUAGAUCUCAAGGACCAAAGAAGCUACAUCACAUCAGAAUUAUGACUGUGGUGCUCAAGGAGAGAUUGAAAGAUGUUUUCAAGGAAAGGACGUUAAAAGCCUGCUUUGCCCUUUUGUAUGUGUGGCUAAUCCUGGAGUCCGAGAAGGGAAAAAGAAAAAAGCCUGAAAAAGACCUGUUUCAUAUUUUAUUCCAUGCACUCUGUUCCUCUAGGAUCUUAGGUAUCUUCAUGUUAGAAGCUCAGAGACUCAGCAACAAUCUUCAGGAACCUUGGUUUUCACAUGUGACCAUGAAAGCAAGUCAAUGA